ACCUACGGGGGGCAGCAGUGAGGGAUAUUGGUCAAUGGGGGAAACCCUGAACCAGCAACGCCGCGUGAGGGAAGACGGUUUUCGGAUUGUAAACCUCUGUCCUCUGUGAAGAUAAUGACGGUAGCAGAGGAGGAAGCUCCGGCUAACUACGUGCCAGCAGCCGCGGUAAUACGUAGGUGGCAAGCGUUGUCCGGAAUUACUGGGUGUAAAGGGAGCGCAGGCGGGAAGCCAAGUCAGCUGUGAAAACUACGGGCUUAACUUGUAGACUGCAGUUGAAACUGGGUUUCGUGAGUGAAGGAGAGGUU
This 305-nucleotide ribosomal RNA is filed under the name uncultured bacterium. RNAcentral describes it as "bacterial SSU rRNA". It matches the Rfam family "Bacterial small subunit ribosomal RNA", at positions 337 to 659 of the family's 1533-position model. The record is from RNAcentral.